GACGAAGGGGGCUAGCGUUGUUCGGAAUUACUGGGCGUAAAGCGAGUGUAGGCGGUUGUUCAAGUCAGGUGUGAAAGCCUUGAGCUCAACUCAAGAAAUGCACUUGAUACUGGAUGACUAGAGGACCGGAGAGGAUAGUGGAAUUCCCAGUGUAGUGGUGAAAUACGUAGAGAUUGGGAAGAACACCAGUGGCGAAGGCGGCUAUCUGGACGGUUACUGACGCUAAGACUCGAAAGCGUGGGGAGCGAACAGG
This 253-nucleotide ribosomal RNA is filed under the name uncultured bacterium. Its description in RNAcentral is "partial 16S ribosomal RNA". It matches the Rfam family "Bacterial small subunit ribosomal RNA", at positions 524 to 776 of the family's 1533-position model. The record is from RNAcentral.